Long non-coding RNA from Cucurbita moschata (crookneck pumpkin), 96 nucleotides. RefSeq lists it as uncharacterized. The transcript has 3 exons. The record is from RefSeq and is a predicted model, not a curated record. Lineage: Eukaryota; Viridiplantae; Streptophyta; Magnoliopsida; Cucurbitales; Cucurbitaceae.
UUAAAACUCAGUAACAUUCUUUUCAUGAAUCUUGUUCUAUGUUUGAGUGUUCGUGUUUCGUAGUUGCCAAUCGUAGUUCAUAAUUAUCCUGAACAU